GUGAAAGGGUAAAAGUGUUCAUAAGGUAAAGUUCUAUCAGCCCUGACAUUUUCAGAUUAAUCUAAUUAGCCAUUGUUGGGUUGCUGCCAAUAAAUUUCUAAUUUUUAGGAAAUUUUGCAGUUUUUGGUUAUUAUCUUGAAUAGUAUUAAUGAUAAAGAUAUACUGUAAUCAGCAAAGUAAGAUCUACAAAUAAGUUUAUAUGACCAAAAUUCUCAAUUGACCCCUAAAAGAGUUAUUGCCUUUUAAGGAAGGACAAUUUUACACAAUUUGUUUAUCAUGUUUACUAACUAAAAAAUCUUCUUAUCUGAAACCACUGAACCAAUUCCAAACAAACUUAAGGAUGUACUAAGAUGAGGUUAGGUAAAAAUUAAGAAAUUAAGAAAUUAAAAUUGAUACUAUAAGCUGGUAGAGCAUCAAUUAAGGAAAAAGAUAAACUAAAAAUAUUGAUGGGUCAAGGACCUCCUUUUUCGAGAUAUUUGCGAUUUAAAAUAUGGCGGGAAAAGGCUGACUCAGACUUUUACCUUAUAUUUGCAUGGUAUUAUUUGGGUCUUAAAACAAAAGAAAGAAAAUAAAGAAUCUUCUAAAAUUAUGGUAAAUGACUUUUCAUGAGCUGUUAAGUCUUAUAUGAAAAAAUAAAUGGGUGUUAUGGGGCAAAAUAUUUUACAUUGUUUUGUAUGGAAAAACACCAAGGAGUCCGAACAUUUGACACACAUUCCAAAACCUCACCUAAGUACAUCCUUAAGCUGAAUGAUCCUUAGGGUGUGUAAAAUAAAGUUUGUGUUUUAUUUUCUUUUUCGUCAAAAAAUAUGGCCACCAUGGCUAAAAAUAGAACAUAUGUGUAAAAUGCAGUUUUUGGCUUAUAUCUCAAAAACCAAAGCAGUUAGAGCAAAGUUGUGUGUGAAAGGGUAAAAGUGUUCAUAAGGUAAAGUUCUAUCAGCCCUGAAAUUUUCAGAUGAAGCUAAUAACCCAUUGUUGGGUUGCUGCCACUAAAUUGCUAAUUUUAAGGAAAUUUUGCAGUUUUUAGUUAUUAUCUUGAAUAGCAUUAAUGAUAAAGAUAAGUUGUAAACAGCAAAUAUGUUCAGCAGAGUUAGAUCUACAAAUAAGUUUAUAUAACCAAAAUUGUCAAUUGACC
Molecule: long non-coding RNA, 1132 nt
Filed under: Mytilus galloprovincialis (Mediterranean mussel)
Lineage: Eukaryota; Metazoa; Mollusca; Bivalvia; Mytilida; Mytilidae
Source: RNAcentral